AGUGAACGCUGGCGGCAGGCCUAACACAUGCAAGUCGAGCGGGGUUUUCGGACCUAGCGGCGGACUGGUGAGUAAUGCGUAGGAAGCUGCCCGAUAGAGGGGGAUACCAGUUGGAAACGACUGUUAAUACCGCAUAAUGUCUACGGACCAAAGUGUGGGACCUUCGGGCCACAUGCUAUCGGAUGCGCCUACGUGGGAUU
This 200-nucleotide ribosomal RNA is filed under the name uncultured bacterium. RNAcentral describes it as "partial 16S ribosomal RNA". It matches the Rfam family "Bacterial small subunit ribosomal RNA", at positions 29 to 242 of the family's 1533-position model. The record is from RNAcentral.